AUGAAUGGUUGGACGAGAUAUAAUCUGUUUCAUUUAAAAUUAAUUAGAAUUUUAUUUUUUAGUUAAAAAGCUAAAAUAUAUUCAAAAGACGAGAAGACCCUAUAAAUCUUGAUUAUUUAGUAAUUUUUAAUUUAUUUUGAUUUUUUUUAUUAUAAAUUUAUUAAUUAAUUUUAUUGGGGUGAUAUUAAAAUUUAAAUAACUUUUAAUAAUUUUUGUCAUUUAUUUAUGAUUAAGUGAUCCGUUAUUAGUGAUUAAAAAAUUAAGUUACUUUAGGGAUAACAGCGUAAUUUUUUUGGAGAGUUCUUAUCGAUAAAAAAGUUUGCGACCUCGAUGUUGGAUUAAGAUUCAUAUUUAAAUGCAGAAGUUUAAAUAUAAAGUCUGUUCGACUUUUUAUUCUUACAUGAUCUGAGUUCAAACCGGUGUAAGCCAGGUUGGUUUCUAUCUUUGAUUUAAUAAAAUAUUUUAGUACGAAAGGAAUUAAUAUUUAUUUUUAAAAAAUUAAUUUAUGAAUAAAUUUAA
This 519-nucleotide ribosomal RNA is filed under the name Teleopsis dalmanni. RNAcentral describes it as "partial 16S ribosomal RNA". The stretch from base 275 to 433 matches the Rfam family "Bacterial large subunit ribosomal RNA", at positions 2473 to 2632 of the family's 2925-position model. The record is from RNAcentral. Lineage: Eukaryota; Metazoa; Arthropoda; Insecta; Diptera; Diopsidae.